UCCGUUAAAGGGAAAGGCAGCUGUGCAGAACCUCAAGGUGCACGUGAACUAAGCCCAGGGGUCCCGGGUCAGUGAGGCUCAGCCCAAAUGCAUUGGGAACCAAACUCACACAUGGGUGUUUGCUCACUCUGUUGAUCAGGAUCCCCUCGUGUGUACCGCUGCUUAACACAUGAUUAAGCGCAUGUAAAAGAAAUGCUGUUUUCAGGAAAUAAUUGCUGAGCAUUCUGAAUCUUGGAAUUUACUAAAAAGGCGAACCACCAAUUGGUCUUUGCUGUUCAAGAAAAAUUCAUCACUGACUCACCUCCCUCCCAGUUCUUGGCUCUCCACGGCUGUGUGAAGAGUAGAUCAACGGGUGGGGCCUUGUGUCACAAAUCACGGCUGCUCCUAGGGGUCCAGGGUUGGGGGAGCACUCCAACCUGUACAGAUGCACCUGUGAUCUCUACAGAAGAGAAGUCUCAUCUUUGCCCCCGAGGAGAAAAGAGCCCAGGACUUGGAGUGCCUUCGCUGAAUAGGUAGGAACUUUCCAGUUUGCAUCCUCUGUGAAAAGCAAUUAGGACCAGCUCCAGAAGGGAUCUGAUAGAAUCAGAAGGAAGAAGUCAGAAGCCACAGUCAAGAACGCAAACAGAAUUGGUAUAUUUGAAGGAAUCAGUCUCCCUUGUGCUGGGAGGCCUUCACAGUGUCAUCUGUGGGUUGUACACACAUUCUACAAUGACUUCCCAUGAUAAACAUAAAACUCUCGGGGAAAACGUUGUGAUCUUAGUGCAAGAGGAUAUCAUUAAACACAACAUGGAAAAAAUCCUGUUAGGAGAGCCAUGGCUGAGAAAAUCUGUAUGUGUGUUCUAGCAUGGAGUUUCACCAUGUAUGAGCUCCAGACCUUGGGGGCACUUGGACUGAUUACAAGGGUCCUAGCAUUUGGAAAUGAUUUAAUGAAUAACCAUCUGACACAUAUGUGUUCUAUUUUCCACAAGAAUGUAGAUACUGAAAUGAUUAUUAAAAUAUUAAUUUAAAUGCAA
Molecule: long non-coding RNA, 1013 nt
Filed under: Homo sapiens (human)
Lineage: Eukaryota; Metazoa; Chordata; Mammalia; Primates; Hominidae
Description: HSALNT0109828
Source: RNAcentral